Molecule: unclassified non-coding RNA, 96 nt
Filed under: Apopellia endiviifolia
Lineage: Eukaryota; Viridiplantae; Streptophyta; Jungermanniopsida; Pelliales; Pelliaceae
Description: pre-pen-miR8187
Source: RNAcentral
CUGCGGUCAAGGUCGUUUUCCCUAUUCCGCCCAUAUCAUGUUAAAGUUUACACCUUUAACAAGGUAUGGGAGGUAUGGAAUGCGACCUUGGCGACA